RNAcentral lists this non-coding RNA (21 nucleotides) under Arabidopsis thaliana (thale cress). Lineage: Eukaryota; Viridiplantae; Streptophyta; Magnoliopsida; Brassicales; Brassicaceae. The record is from RNAcentral.
UCGUAGCCUGCGCGAUGACCC